This is an RNA transcript of Heterocephalus glaber (naked mole-rat), 2504 nucleotides long. It is a transcript of the gene named stress associated endoplasmic reticulum protein family member 2, with no coding region annotated. Lineage: Eukaryota; Metazoa; Chordata; Mammalia; Rodentia; Bathyergidae. The record is from RefSeq and is a predicted model, not a curated record.
GGGGACCGGAAGGAUGGCGAGGAAGUCGGAGCGGGUUUCCUGAGAUGAGAGAUUACUUCCGUCCGGGCGCCGGCCUCUCUCUGGAGCCGGCUCGCCAGGGCUCGGAGCGUGGUGCGCGGGGCUCGGGGCGCGCCUGGCCACCGCAGCGCCGGGCGGGCCUCGGGCCUCGGGCCUCGGCGGACGCGCUCGGCCUGGUGGCCUACGCUAACCCGGGGGUCCUUGCAGGCGGGAUUGAGAGCCUUUCAAAGAGCCUAAGCCAUGGUGGCCAAACAGCGGAUCCGGAUGGCUAACGAGAAGCACAGCAAAAACAUCACCCAGAGGGGAAACGUAGCCAAAACCCUGAGGCCACAAGAAGAAAAAUACCCUGUAGGACCAUGGCUGUUGGCACUGUUUGUUUUUGUUGUCUGUGGCUCAGCUAUCUUUCAGAUCAUUCAGAGCAUAAGGAUGGGGAUGUGAGACAGCCUGGCAUCUGACUCUGUGCCCUCCCCCUAGAGGGUGGAAGACCAGGAAAGCCUGUGGCAGUUUGGAUAUCAGCAGAAUGACAGAUGGAACUUAGGUUGGAUAGAUAAGAAGGCACAUUGAAAACAACAACAACAAAAACCCACAGUGAUGUAACUUGGGGUGGAAGAGAGGAAUUGAUGAAGACUUCUGGAAAACCUGGAUAGAAGCAUUUGACUCUGGAGAAGGACGGAGAAGGCUCAUAAGGUGCAGUGGCCUGUCUCCAGCCUACCUCUUUUGGGGAACUGCCUCUCCUGCUUCCUUUUCUCCUUGACCCUGGUGGGAUCUGAGAAAGAUGUGCUGUUUUUCUGAGCUGCACGACAGCUAGUCAGAGUGCACCCCUACUCCCUUGCCACCCCGCACCCCAGAGUCCUCUCUGGGAUCUGUUGCUAGUGACAAAACCUGGUUUUUGUCCCUGAAUUUAGGAUACUGAGAAGAAAUGAAAUUAGAACCAUUGACUACCAUCUGCCCUCACCCAGCAAUAAGUGUAAAUAUUCCACUUAGGAAAAAAUUAGGGCAGGACAGGGACUCUUUUUAUUGGAUUGGGUUUUACACCUUGCGUUACUUUGUAUUUGGAUAAUAUUUUAGCACUUUCCUAGACAAAAAUGCCUGACACAAUAUGAAAAGAAAAAGUCUAUCUUGGCUCAUAGUUCUGGAUGUUCUUGUUCAUGGUUGGUUGUCCCCAUUGCUUUGUGCCAGUGGUGAGGCAGGAUAUCAUGGCAGGAGUGUGUGGCAAAACACAGUAACUUAACUCAUGGUUAGAAAGCCCAAGAAAUAAGGAGGAACUAACUGGGAUCCUAUAGUCCCCUUCAAGAAUAUGCUCUCAAUGGCCUAAGGACCCACUAGUCUCCACCUCUUACAGGUUCCAAGUCUUUAACACAUAGGCCUUUGGGGGACAUUGAAGAUCCAAACUAUAGUAGGGAUAUUUGGACCAAUGUGUUCAUUUUAUAUUUAGUGAGUUUAAUUUGAGUUUCUGGCUCUCUUCACCAUGCAGAGGAAAUUGUAGGUACAAAUGUAUGGAGAUGAGAAAAUGCUGAGGAUAUUAAGGGAUCUGCUGAGCAUGUGGCCAGAACAGAGGAAAUGGGAUGAGACUGUAACAGUGGGCUUGGGUCAGAUCAUGAAAGGCUUGAGUCAGAUGGUGAAUGCAGGAGCAUCCAGUAAGGAUUUUAGCAGGGAGAUGUAGAUGUGCAGUGUAGAAAGCUCACAUGGGAGUUGAGUGGAAGUGAGCUGACCUGGAGGAAGGUCUGCCAGAGAAGCCUGGGGGUGACAUAGUAGGCACCAGAACUCAGCUGGGGACCCCAGGGGACAGACAGCUGUGCCUGCAUCCAGGAGAGGCUAAGUGAUUAAGAGACUAGAAAGUUCUGGUAUGGCUGUGAUAGAAUUUAGUUUCAAUCAUUUCCCAUAUCUUAUAGCUUUGAGGGUCUCCUCCUUCCUAAUUAUCCUUCCCUGAAAGCAUUCUGAGUUGGCCUAUCUCUACAAGAAGAUAUGAGACCCAGAACAGAACUCCAUACUCUUGAUGACGUCAAGCUGAGGAGGAAUAAUAAUAUGCAUAAAAAUGCUUUACAUGUUCAGUAUGGAUGCAAUUUUUUCCAAAUAUUUUCAGUCUACAGUUGAAUCUGUGGAUCAGGAACCCAUAAAUAUGGAGGGUGGACUGUACAGGAUUGUGUAGAGCCUGAAUCCUUUUUUUAUAUAGGCUCUAAAUUAUUUUUUAAUAAGCUGGUAAAUAUUUUUACAGAUUUUUCUCAGAGGAGAAGGCAUCAAGAGAUGGAAGGAGAGGAGAGGGAGAGAAGGGAUAGGGUAUGAAAAGCAGGAGCUGGGAUGUGCUCUGUGCAUGUACCAACUCCACACAAGAAAUGUAAACAUUAUGUGCUGCAAAUAUGUACUAAUAAACAAAAAAAAAUAUAUGCAAGCCUACGUUAUUAAGCUUAGCAUGUCUUACCUACACCUGAAAACUGUGUCUCCAAACUUUUGAGUUCAAUUAAAUUCAGCAAGUAAGUAUGAUGUUA